RNAcentral lists this ribosomal RNA (443 nucleotides) under uncultured bacterium. Its description in RNAcentral is "partial 16S ribosomal RNA". It matches the Rfam family "Bacterial small subunit ribosomal RNA", at positions 338 to 795 of the family's 1533-position model. The record is from RNAcentral.
CCUACGGGAGGCAGCAGUGGGGAAUAUUGGACAAUGGGGGGAACCCUGAUCCAGCGACGCCGCGUGAGUGAAGAAGUAUUUCGGUAUGUAAAGCUCUAUCAGCAGGGAAGAAAGAAAUGACGGAACCUGACUAAGAAGCCCCGGCUAACUACGUGCCAGCAGCCGCGGUAAUACGUAGGGGGCAAGCGUGAUCCGGAUUUACUGGGUGUAAAGGGAGCGUAGACGGCGAUGCAAGUCUGAAGUGAAAGGCGGGGGCCCAACCCCUGGACUGCUUUGGAAACUGUAUGGCUGGAGUGCAGGAGAGGUAAGUGGAAUUCCUAGUGUAGCGGUGAAAUGCGUAGAUAUCAGGAGGAACACCAGUGGCGAAGGCGGCCUGCUGGACUGCAACUGACGUUGAGGCCCGAAAGCGUGGGGAGCAAACAGGAUUAGAUACCCGGGUAGUC